CCACCCCCAUUGUGGGGGCUGUGAUGGAUCCCUUCUCCAUCCCCAUUGGUGAGGCCAUGAUGGAUCCCCUCUCCACCCCAUUGGUGGGGCCGUGAUGGAUCCCCUCUCCACCCCAUUGGGGGGGCUGUGAUGGAUCCCUUCUCCAUCCCCAUUGGUGAGGCCGUGAUGGAUCCCCUCUCCACCCCAUUGGUGAGGCCGUGAUGGAUCCCCUCUCCACCCCAUUGGUGAGGCCAUGAUGGAUCCCCUCUCCACCCCAUUGGGGGGGCUGUGAUGGAUCCCCUCUCCCACCCCGUUUGGGGGGGCUGUGAUGGACGGCCGUGCCAUGCCGAGCUCCGAGAAGCUUUGCUGCACUUUAUUGCUGAUCUCAUUGGCUGCACUGACCUGCAAACUCCUCGUGGCUCCAGGCUGGGCUGGACUUCCCUCAAGCACUUUUCCUCCAUCCAUCCAUCCAUGCAUCCAUCCAUCCGUCCAUCUGUCCGUCCGUCCAUCCCCAGCAGCAGCAGUGGGGCCGGGGGCUGCCCGACCCCCUCCCCACCCCCACCCCCCCCCAAGAACUCCGUGCUGUGUUCCUUUCCCAAGGAAGAGUCCAUUCGUUUCAAAGAGGUUUGCUUUGCUCUUUACCCUCCCGUCGCCGUUCUCUCCUCCCUUUUGGGUUCAUCUGCUGGUUUUUCAGUCCUCGCCAGGAGGGUUUUGGGGGUCUUUUUGGGGGGGGGGGUUGGGGGGUGGGGGGGGGUUUGCUGUUUGCUUUCUGAACCACACAUUGACUUUGGGCAGCGGCAGAGCGGGGCUGGAGGUGGGGAAGGGGGGGGGGGGCCUUUUGGGGUGUUGAUUUUUGUACUCGGAGGGGGGGGCACAGAGUGGGAGCAUCUCUCCCCACAUUCUCCCUCUGCCCCACAGCUCCCGUUCAGGGCAGGGGCUCAGCUGAGCACGCACAACCCCGAGCUGCCCCCAAAGCCGGGAGCCCACCCAGGACCCCGCUCUAUUAUGGGCACAGUCCCACCCCCCCACCCCGUCUCUGACUAUGGGGGGUCUGCCCCCCAAAUCCGAGCAGGGGGGAAGCAGGGCCAGAGCCCCCUCCCCCCCCCCCCGCCCUCCCGUGCUAUGCUGAUACGGGGCCGUCCUGCAGAGGGCUCUCAGCCCCACUGCUGCCCCAUGGGAGGAUUUGCCUUCGUCUUCUGCCCCUCUCACUGCCCGACCUCCCCCCAUCGAUCGGGCUGGGAAAGAAGGACGAGUGGGGAGGGGGGAGCUGAGGGUGGGGGGCACAGUGAUCCCCUCCCCCCCCCCCCCCCCCCGCUGUGGGUUCAGGACCCGAUCCCGUCCCACCGCCGUGGCCGCCUGCCCCGUCUCGCCCGUCAGGGACGUGUGACUUCACAGCAUAGCAAUGUAUCCUUACGCCAAUAAAGGGUUUCUGUGAUUCACUGCUCUGCCCUCGAGGCUCC
This 1439-nucleotide long non-coding RNA is filed under the name Gallus gallus (chicken). The record is from RNAcentral. Lineage: Eukaryota; Metazoa; Chordata; Aves; Galliformes; Phasianidae.